UGUUUAACUUCGUUGACUCUUCUUUGUUGUCAAAUGCCUCUCUUACAUCUUUCAAACAUGUUAAAGAGGUUAUUAUUAAUUGUUAUCUAAGUUGCUUCUCAAGCUACAAUGUCAGUUUUAAAUACAAUUGAAGAGCAAGCCGUGUUCUGAUGGAUAGAAUUUGAUCUGUAAAAAGUACUCUUUUGUCAUACUUAACAGAUGCACCCUUACGGAGGUACAUCUUUUGUGGCUUAAUAGUUUUGAAGUUGCCAGCAUUUAGAUCUAUUUUACAACUCUUAUCGUUUGGACGGUAUUUUCCUGACUUUUCCCAACAUGUUUUUUUUUUUCACAUUCUAUGAUCUGAAUUUGUCAGAAAUCAGAAAGGAGCAGUCCAUCAAUAUUAAGCUGAAGCAUGACAAGAAAUGUCAAAGAAAAGAGCUUGAGCAGCGAACCAAAGAACUGGCAGAAUGUAGGACCCAGAUUAAUGACUUGGAAAGAAAAAGUUUAAUGGAUCAGAUCGAAGAGCAAAAACUGAAGUUGCCAAGUCAAAAUCCUCCAGGAGAUAUUGAUUUAAAUACUGAGAACACUGAACUGAGAAACCAGUUAAGAGGAAAACAAAGAUGCGCUGCAAUAUUUGGAAAAGCCUGAAUCAUACACUUAACACUUAAAGAGUCCAUCAGUAACCAAGAGCUGCAAGAUGCUCACAAAGAAUCAAUAAGUGGUUUGCGAGAUAUACUGAAUUGUCGCUCAACAUUUACAAUCAAGAGAAUGGGAGAGAUUGAUCUGAAAGCUUUUCAACACGCGUGCUCACUGAAGUUCUCUGAUGGAGAACGGGAGGAGAUGUCUGUUAAACUUUGUUCGUCAUGGCAAGAAUCUUUGAAGAAUCCUCACUGGCAUCCUUUCAAGUGAGUCAUUAUCGAAGGCAA
Long non-coding RNA from Pistacia vera, 905 nucleotides. RefSeq lists it as uncharacterized. Lineage: Eukaryota; Viridiplantae; Streptophyta; Magnoliopsida; Sapindales; Anacardiaceae. The record is from RefSeq and is a predicted model, not a curated record. The transcript is spliced from 3 exons.